RNAcentral lists this ribosomal RNA (253 nucleotides) under uncultured bacterium. Its description in RNAcentral is "partial 16S ribosomal RNA". It matches the Rfam family "Bacterial small subunit ribosomal RNA", at positions 524 to 776 of the family's 1533-position model. The record is from RNAcentral.
UACGGAGGGUGCAACCGUUGCUCGGAAUUAUUGGGCGUAAAGCGUACGUAGGCGGUCCAGCAAGUCGGGUGUGAAAGCCCUCGGCUUAACCGAGGAAGUGCAUUCGAAACUACUGGACUUGAAUACUGGAGAGGAUCGCGGAAUUCCCGGUGUAGAGGUGAAAUUCGUAGAUAUCGGGAGGAACACCAGUGGCGAAGGCGGCGAUCUGGACAGAUAUUGACGCUGAUGUACGAAAGCGUGGGGAGCAAACAGG